GAGAGGACUGCCCGGUGUCCAUGGGGCCCCAGGUGACACAGGCCCUCCAGGGGUAGGAAUUCCUGGCCGAACAGGCUCCCAAGGACCAGCUGGAGAGCCAGGUAUUCAGGGUCCUCGAGGUCUCCCUGGGUUGCCAGGAACUCCAGGGACCCCAGGGAAUGAUGGAGCUCCAGGGAGGGAUGGAAAGCCAGGCCUGCCAGGCCCCCCAGGUGACCCGAUUGCACUUCCUCUCUUGGGAGACAUCGGCGCCUUGCUCAAGAACUUCUGUGGCAACUGCCCAGCCAGUGUCCCCGGGCUGAAAAGCAACAAAGGAGAAGAGGGAGGUGC
Molecule: non-coding RNA, 327 nt
Organism: Ceratotherium simum simum (southern white rhinoceros)
Lineage: Eukaryota; Metazoa; Chordata; Mammalia; Perissodactyla; Rhinocerotidae
Source: RefSeq, a predicted model, not a curated record